This 510-nucleotide ribosomal RNA is filed under the name Triticum aestivum (bread wheat). RNAcentral's name for it is "partial small subunit ribosomal RNA". The record is from RNAcentral. Lineage: Eukaryota; Viridiplantae; Streptophyta; Magnoliopsida; Poales; Poaceae.
AUGGCGUCCGGCAAGGUGCACACGCACAAGGCGUUCCUCCUCUGCAACUACGCGCUGCUGGGCGCGGCCUCCAGCUGCAUCUUCCUCACCCUCUCCCUCCGCCUCCUGCCGUCCCCGUGCGGCCUGCUCCUCGUCUUCCUCCACGCGCUCACCGCCGUCUUCUCCGCCGCGGGCUGCUCCGGCUCCUUCACGGCCGGCCCGGCCAACCCGGCGCCCUGGCACACCGCGCACACGGCGGGCGCCGCGCUCACCGCUAUCUUCCAGGGCGCCGUCGCGCUGCUCGCAUUCACCCGCACCGCCGACUUCCUCGCCGAGCUCCAGUCCUACGUCCGCGACGACGACGGCGCCGUCAUCCUCAAGAUGGUCGGCGGGCUCGGCACCGCCAUCUUCGUCCUCGAGUGGGCCGCCCUCGCGCUCGCCUUCUCCCUGCGCCUCGACGACGCCGAGGACGACGAUGGCGACGACGACCUCCGCCGCGCCAAGAACUGGGCCGACGCCUACCAUGUCUGA